GGAAGGUGGGGAUGACGUCAAAUCAUCAUGCCCCUUAUGACCUGGGCUACACACGUGCUACAAUGGACAGAACAAAGGGCAGCGAAACCGCGAGGUUAAGCCAAUCCCACAAAUCUGUUCUCAGUUCGGAUCGCAGUCUGCAACUCGACUGCGUGAAGCUGGAAUCGCUAGUAAUCGCGGAUCAGCAUGCCGCGGUGAAUACGUUCCCGGGCCUUGUACACACCGCCCGUCACACCACGAGAGUUUGUAACACCCGAAGUCGGUGAGGUAACCUUUUAGGAGCCAGCCGCCGAAGG
RNAcentral lists this ribosomal RNA (296 nucleotides) under Bacillus amyloliquefaciens. RNAcentral's name for it is "partial 16S ribosomal RNA". It matches the Rfam family "Bacterial small subunit ribosomal RNA", at positions 1168 to 1462 of the family's 1533-position model. The record is from RNAcentral. Lineage: Bacteria; Bacillati; Bacillota; Bacilli; Caryophanales; Bacillaceae.